Molecule: long non-coding RNA, 596 nt
Organism: Magnolia sinica
Lineage: Eukaryota; Viridiplantae; Streptophyta; Magnoliopsida; Magnoliales; Magnoliaceae
Exons: 4
Source: RefSeq, a predicted model, not a curated record
UCUCUCUCUCGAUCUACCUCUCCCUCUACGGAAACGACGCAUCGUCUCCAGCAACGGCGCAUCCUCUCCAGCAUCAUCUUCACCACUCUAAGUGCGGCCAGCAGCCCCCGCCCUUCACCUCGUCCCCGGCCAUUUCUGGAGAAACAAGAAGUUGUCAUCGAAAAGGUUGUUCGAAAUAAACGCAAAUGUGUCACAAUUGUGAAAGGCCUUGAACUCUUUGGUGUUAAACUGAGCGAGGCUUCAAAGAAGCUUGGAAAAAAAUUCGCAAGAGUGGGUCAGCCGCCUUUUGGACUUGAUAUUUCACAGUCUGUAUAGCCACAAGGAAGUAUUUCUCCGGGAGCUUGUAAGAUCUGUAUCUUGCUACUGAUUCGAUUUUUUUAUUGGUCAUUUAGAGUAUUUGACCUAUGCUCCUAGGUGCAUUGGAGUUAUCAUCCACCUAUUAUUUGUACUAUACAUGUGGCAUAUGUGUAUGGUUAUCUUCAUCAUCCAUAAUUAAUGAUUUAGUUGAAGUGUUUGGUCCAUGUUUUGUCUUCCCUCUGCAUUUAUAAAAUAGAACUAAUUAACAUAAGUUUAAAUAAAAUUCAGUAAAUUUCUUU